CUUUUUUUUAAUAUUUAUUUGUUAAAGAAAAAAAAACAAGCGUGUUGAAUAAAAAAAUAAAAUAACUUUAUGACACCAUUUAUUGCUGUUAUAUAAAGGCGUUCACUGGAAAUUGUGAAAUAGAUACUAUUGCAGUCCCUCCUAUGAUCGAAUCAAGCCCUACUGGAAAUUAUGAGAUAGAUACAACUCUUGCAGUAAAUGUUGAUAUAAUGUUAUGAGGGCAAGGUCAGACCAUCCAAAUCAAAAGCUUUAAAUAAAGAAAUAGAUAAUGAAAUAGAUCUUUCUAUAAUGCAGGAUAUCACGAAUCAAGAAAAUCUACAAUUAUCCAAAGAGAAUCUAGAACUACCCAAAGAGAAUCUAGAACUACCCAAAGAAAAUCUACAAUUAUCCAAAGAGAAUAUAGAACUACCCAUACAGGAUCAAUUACAAUUACCUAAAACCUUGUCAUUUCACA
Long non-coding RNA from Gordionus sp. m RMFG-2023, 454 nucleotides. RefSeq lists it as uncharacterized. The record is from RefSeq and is a predicted model, not a curated record. The transcript has 4 exons. NCBI's taxonomy places the organism in Eukaryota, Metazoa, Nematomorpha, Gordioida, Chordodea, Parachordodidae.